Molecule: long non-coding RNA, 1002 nt
Filed under: Ananas comosus (pineapple)
Lineage: Eukaryota; Viridiplantae; Streptophyta; Magnoliopsida; Poales; Bromeliaceae
Description: long non-coding RNA (ACOM_LNC043770)
Source: RNAcentral
GUUUGAAUUUUUUUUAUAUAUUAUAUCAUAUUAAAUUUGUUUGGGUUUGGGUUCGAGUUCGGGUUCGGGUUCAGGUCGGGUUCGGGUUCGGGUUCAAGUUUUUUAAAAAUAUCCAUACCCGAACCGAAUCUGUCGGAUUUUGUUUUUAAUAUCCAUAUCUGAAUCCAUAUCCAUAUACAUCGGGUAAAAUACGCUCUGUUCGAGUUUGGAUAAAUUUUUUAUUUGGAGUUGACUCAGGUUCAGAUGAUAUCUAACCAUCUUAAACACUAGUUAGCACGCUAGCUUUUUUUUUUUUGAGAGAGAAGGGUAGCAUGUUAUCCGUCUUAUUUAUUUCUUUUAGAAGUAAACUUAGCUAGAAAUGUGAAUUAAUUAGGAUUCAAACUUCGGACCUUGAGUACCAGCCUCCAAGCCCUUUGCCACUUGCGCUAAGAACGGUCGGUGCACGUUGGCAUAUUGAUAUAUUAUAUACAAAUUGCAUGAUUACCAUCCAUUAUAGGAUGUCAUCAGGUCGGAUUUUGGGGCGAUUUUUAAAAACAUAAGCCCGAAUCUGACUACAAAUCCAAAACUCGAAUACGAUUCUGAAUCCCACAGGUUCUAGAAGUCCAUAUCCCUACACGAACCCAGCAAAAAAAAACCAACACCCGAAUCCAAAUUCGAAUCAAUUAUGAUCUCUCUUUAUCAUAUCUCAAAAUAUAUUACAUUAAAUCUUAAUUUUUAAAAUAAAAAUUCAAAUAUAAUAUCAAAAAGUUAUAUAUACAUACAUACAUACAUACAUAAUACAUACAUAAUAUAAAAUCAAUUUGGGUCUGGAUCGGGUUCGAAUUCUGGUCGGAUAUAGAUAAACCAUACUCGAAUUCAAAUCCAUGGGAUUUCGUGUUGUAUACCCAUAUUUGAAACUAUAUCCAUUUAGUAUUGAAUAAAUCCACUCCGUUCAGAUUCAUAUUCGAAUAAAAUUCCGGGUAUCUGUAUCCAUUGAUAUGCUAAUCCAUUAUCGCAUUGACC